CAGCAGCCACGGUAAUACAGAGGGUGCGAGCGUUAAUCGGAUUUACUGGGCGUAAAGCGUGCGUAGGCGGCUUCUUAAGUCGGAUGUGAAAUCCCUGAGCUUAACUUAGGAAUUGCAUUCGAUACUGGGAAGCUAGAGUAUGGGAGAGGAUGGUAGAAUUCCAGGUGUAGCGGUGAAAUGCGUAGAGAUCUGGAGGAAUACCGAUGGCAAAGGCAGCCAUCUGGCCUAAUACUGACGCUGAGGUACGAAAGCAUGGGGAGCAAACAGGAUUAGAUACCCGGGUAGUCCCUGUCUCUUAUAC
This 301-nucleotide ribosomal RNA is filed under the name uncultured bacterium. Its description in RNAcentral is "partial 16S ribosomal RNA". It matches the Rfam family "Bacterial small subunit ribosomal RNA", at positions 509 to 807 of the family's 1533-position model. The record is from RNAcentral.